Molecule: long non-coding RNA, 1220 nt
Filed under: Otus sunia (Oriental scops-owl)
Lineage: Eukaryota; Metazoa; Chordata; Aves; Strigiformes; Strigidae
Description: lncRNA (ENSOSUG00000002951.1)
Source: RNAcentral
AUGGGUAGUGAUGUGAUAACGGGGGGCUCGAUCCAAAAAUUCCCUGCAGCCGGCAAGCAGGAACCCACAGGUACACCCAAGGGUGGAGGGAUGAGUCAGACAAAGCCGUUGGAGAUGACGGUUCUUUCUGUGGAGAGCCCGGGUCGGGGCAGCCGCCGCGGGGGCAGCACACCUCAUCCCCACGCGGGGUUUCCGUUGGGGCCGCUGGACGUCGGGGCUGAGCAGCGGCUGUACGGAGCGGGAGAGGCACCGGCCAGAGAAACAGCUACUGGGAGAGACGAGCUCCAACUGCUGCUCUGGCCUCGCCUUCAGGCGCGGGGCAAGUGGGGACCAUAAAAAUCCCCGGCGAUGCCGAUGUUCGAACAGUUAAACAGCGAUUAAAGACACCAGCGCUACAAGACCUGGGCAUGUUAUUUCCAGAGAACAUGUCAGCAGCUGCUGAAUUCCUGCGUUUACUGCGCCGCGCUGGCAGGCUCGGAGGUCUUUACGGGAGCGGUGGCGUUAUAUUCAGCGUUAACUAGCGAGCCUCGCAGCUCCUGAGCUGCCUCCCAGCAGCCUCUGCUUCUCAGCCCCAUUUCUCGGAGCUGGGUAACGAGGCCCUUCCCGGGGCUUUCAGCGGCGCCAGAGCCCGCGCUGCUGGCGCGGGGUGUCACAGUGCGGCGGGGACGGUCACGCCAAGCGGAGCUGGAGCUGGCGGAGUCACCAACGUGGCAUCUCCUGGGGUCACGUACAACUCCCUGUAAUAACUAGUAAGUCUGUGGCGGUGCCAGUGUUGCCCUACAGCCCUGAAGACUUCAGUGGGGUUUUCUUUAAUUAGGUUUUCUUUAAAUAGGUUCUGACCCAGAAACUAAAAGGCGAUGGGACGGGGUGGAGGCCGAACCCCUCCAGCUCCUUGCUGGAGCUGCUGUGGCAGCUGGCGACCAGGACUCAUUUCAACCUUUUGACUCUGUCCCGGGCUGUAGCACUCGCUCUUCCUUUAGGCCAGCCUCUUCUGUCAGAAGCAGUACGGUUUGUGGCAGGGCUCUGUGUAUAUCCAGCGAGAAAAUUUCCUAUUUCUGUAGCUAUUCUUGCUCUGGAACCAAAACUACCCCAAAAGAAAGUCAGUAUGAGCAAAGGGAGGGGGAGCUUCAGCAACAGAUCCCAAACGUUUAUUCUAAAUAACUGUCGAGAAUCGAGUUGAAUGUGCUGAUAUGAAUUAUUAAUAAAACUGUCUAGGCUGG